This 492-nucleotide ribosomal RNA is filed under the name uncultured bacterium. RNAcentral's name for it is "partial 16S ribosomal RNA". It matches the Rfam family "Bacterial small subunit ribosomal RNA", at positions 29 to 507 of the family's 1533-position model. The record is from RNAcentral.
AGUGAACGCUGGCGGUAGGCCUAACACAUGCAAGUCGAACGGCAGCACAGUAAGAGCUUGCUCUUACGGGUGGCGAGUGGCGGACGGGUGAGGAAUACAUCGGAAUCUACUUUUUCGUGGGGGAUAACGUAGGGUAACUUACGCUAAUACCGCAUACGACCUACGGGUGAAAGCAGGGGAUCUUCGGACCUUGCGCGAUUGAAUGAGCCGAUGUCGGAUUAGCUAGUUGGCGGGGGAAAGGCCCACCAAGGCGACGAUCCGUAGCUGGUCUGAGAGGAUGAUCAGCCACACGGGAACUGAGACACGGUCCAGACUCCUACGGGAGGAAGCGGUGGAGAAUAUUGGAGAAUGGGCGAAAGCGUGAUACAGCCAUACCGCGUGGGUGAAGAAGGAGUUCGGGUUGUAAAGCCCUUUUGUUGGGAAAGAAAAGCAGCAGGUUAAUACGCCGCUGUUCUGACGGUACCCAAAGAAUAAGCACCGGCUAACUUCGUG